UAGGGAAUCUUUCACAAUGGGCGCAAGCCUGAUGGAGCAACGCCGCGUGAGUGAAGAAGGUCUUCGGAUCGUAAAACUCUGUUGUUAGAGAAGAACAUGCGAGAGAGUAACUGUUCUUGUAUUGACGGCAUCUAACCAGAAAGCCACGGCUAACUACGUGCGAG
RNAcentral lists this ribosomal RNA (164 nucleotides) under uncultured bacterium. RNAcentral describes it as "partial 16S rRNA". It matches the Rfam family "Bacterial small subunit ribosomal RNA", at positions 355 to 511 of the family's 1533-position model. The record is from RNAcentral.